Triticum aestivum (bread wheat) is the source of this 125-nucleotide non-coding RNA. NCBI's taxonomy places the organism in Eukaryota, Viridiplantae, Streptophyta, Magnoliopsida, Poales, Poaceae. The record is from Rfam.
CUAAUACUCCCUCCGUCCGGAAAUACUUGUCCAAAGAAUGGAUGUAUCUAGAUGUAUUUUAGUUUUAGAUACACCCAUUUGUAUCCAUUUCUAUGACAAGUAUUUCCGGACGGAGGGAGUAUACA